UCCCCAAUACCUUGUAUCACAAGAGUGCCUCAUGCAUGCAAUUUCAACUAAAUGAAUUACUCUUAAACUGCUCAAAAAAGAUGCGCAUGAAAAAAAUGGUUUGGAAAAACAACCAAAUACAUCUGACAAUACAAUCAUCUUCCUGUAAUAAUUAACUCCAAAUAUAUUCAUAUACUACUCUUUUACCCAAAUGCAAUCAUCAAGGCAAAACCCAGUCUGAGAAGUGAUGUGCCUCAGUUGUGUACAAAAGACCUAACAAUCUACAACUAGCCUCUCCAGCAGAAGGGUUUUCAUCUUCCAUAUGGACAAACUACUUUCCUCAGAAGCACAAAAUACCUUCUCAUGAUCUCAACACAACAGUGAAUAAAGCAAAAGUGAAGCAAAGAAUCAAGUAGACAAGGAAGAGGAGAAACAAAAAUGAAAAUGCAUAUCAAUCACAAAGACCAUCUAAACAUAUAAACAUGAAAAGCAUAGUGCAUAUAU
Molecule: long non-coding RNA, 483 nt
Filed under: Vitis vinifera (wine grape)
Lineage: Eukaryota; Viridiplantae; Streptophyta; Magnoliopsida; Vitales; Vitaceae
Description: long non-coding RNA (VVIN_LNC008261)
Source: RNAcentral